This 138-nucleotide small nucleolar RNA is filed under the name Ornithorhynchus anatinus (platypus). Lineage: Eukaryota; Metazoa; Chordata; Mammalia; Monotremata; Ornithorhynchidae. The record is from RNAcentral.
UCUCUCUCAGGGUCACACCUGGAGAGUUUCCAGUACUCUACCAUUCACAGCUAUGGGAGGGAGAGUCAAGCAGAGGCCUAACCAUUCCAUUCCUAGCUUGGGGUGUGGCUAGCGAGUGGAAGGCAAUCUGCUGCAAGG